CAGCAGCCGCGGGAAUACGUAGGUGGCAAGCGUUGUCCGGAAUUAUUGGGCGUAAAGGGCUCGCAGGCGGUUUCUUAAGUCUGAUGUGAAAGCCCCCGGCCCAACCGGGGAGGGUCAUUGGAAACUGGGAAACUUGAGUGCAGAAGAGGAGAGUGGAAUUCCACGUGUAGCGGUGAAAUGCGUAGAGAUGUGGAGGAACACCAGUGGCGAAGGCGACUCUCUGGUCUGUAACUGACGCUGAGGAGCGAAAGCGUGGGGAGCGAACAGGAUUAGAUACCCCCGUAGUCCCUGUCUCUUAUAC
RNAcentral lists this ribosomal RNA (301 nucleotides) under uncultured bacterium. RNAcentral's name for it is "partial 16S ribosomal RNA". It matches the Rfam family "Bacterial small subunit ribosomal RNA", at positions 509 to 807 of the family's 1533-position model. The record is from RNAcentral.